GAUGAAGAACGUAGCGAAAUGCGAUAAGUAAUGUGAAUUGCAGAAUUCAGUGAAUCAUCGAAUCUUUGAACGCACCUUGCGCCCUUUGGACAUUCCGAAGGGCAUGCCUGUUUGAGUAUCAUGAACACCUCAACUCUCACGGCUUGUCCGUGAUGAGCUUGGACUUUGGGGGUCUUGCCGGCCUGUGGUCGGCUCCUCUCAAAUGGAUCAGCUUGCCAGUGUUUGGUGGCAUCACAGGUGUGAUAACUAUCUGCGCUUGUGGUUUUCCAUCAGAUAACCUUCAGUGAUAUGGAGGUUCGCGGGAGCUCACAAAUGUCUCUCCUUAGUGAGGACAGCUCUUUGAACGUUUGAUCUCAAAUCAGGUAGGACUACCCGCUGAACUUAAGCAUAUCAAUAAGCGGAGGA
RNAcentral lists this unclassified non-coding RNA (405 nucleotides) under soil metagenome. RNAcentral's name for it is "partial contains 5.8S ribosomal RNA, internal transcribed spacer 2, and large subunit ribosomal RNA". The stretch from base 1 to 121 matches the Rfam family "5.8S ribosomal RNA", at positions 35 to 154 of the family's 154-position model. The record is from RNAcentral.